This 26-nucleotide non-coding RNA is filed under the name Mus musculus (house mouse). The record is from RNAcentral. Lineage: Eukaryota; Metazoa; Chordata; Mammalia; Rodentia; Muridae.
UUCGGAGGGUGUAUCCUAGGUAGGUC